AUGGCGGAAAAGGGUGUUCCAUUGCCAAAAUUUGGAGAAUGGGACGUGAAUGAUCCAGCAUCAGCUGAAGGAUAUACUGUGAUAUUCAACAAAGCUAGGAAUGAGAAGAAGAGUGGUAUUAAGAUUGAUUCACCAUCGAAGGAUUAUCGUAAAACCAAAUACAAACAUCAAGUUGUUCUUGGCAAACCUCAAUCUAAAAAAUGGUUUUGCUGUGUAAGUCCAUCCGGUGGAGAAUCAUAA
Non-coding RNA from Vicia faba (fava bean), 240 nucleotides. The record is from the annotation of a GenBank genome assembly. NCBI's taxonomy places the organism in Eukaryota, Viridiplantae, Streptophyta, Magnoliopsida, Fabales, Fabaceae.